UACGUAGGUGGCAAGCGUUGUCCGGAAUUACUGGGCGUAAAGAGCGCGCAGGCGGUCGAUCAAGUCGAGUGUGAAAGCCCCCGGCUCAACUGGGGAGGGUCAUUCGAUACUGAUCGACUCGAAGGCAGGAGAGGGUAGUGGAAUUCCCGGUGUAGUAGUGAAAUGCGUAGAUAUCGGGAGGAACACCAGUGGCGAAGGCGACUACCUGGCCUGUUCUUGACGCUGAGGCGCGAAAGCUAGGGGAGCAAACGGG
This 253-nucleotide ribosomal RNA is filed under the name uncultured bacterium. Its description in RNAcentral is "partial 16S ribosomal RNA". It matches the Rfam family "Bacterial small subunit ribosomal RNA", at positions 524 to 776 of the family's 1533-position model. The record is from RNAcentral.